GUAAUACGUUUGCUUUGUUUUAAGACACUGAGUGUGUGGUAAUUUGUUACAGCAAUGAUAACAAACUCAUACAGAAAGGACAGCUGUGUUAUGUUGAUAGACGUUAGAAGACGGGGGAGAGGGGCGAGCAGAUUGGAGGCUUCUGCAAUAGCUCAGAAGUGACAGUUAUGUCUAGGAAAAGUACAAGGACAGCAGUAAUGGGAGAAGACUGUAAAUGCAAAACUGUUUCUGAAAAUGGACAAAAGUUGGUGAUUUAUUUGAUGUUGGGCAAUUGGAGAAUUCACUGGAGUAAGAAAAUCAAAGAUAAAGGUAUCGAUUUCUGGCUGGGGCAAAUAGGCAAAUGGGAAUUCAUUUACUAUGCAAGAAAAGCAGCCACUGUUAAUUUUGAAAUCAUCUGUUUUCUGAAGAGGGCUAUAUGCCAUUGGCCAGCUGGGCAAAACCAAGAAAUACUCUUCAGGACAGGGUGCUCAAGGUUGAUAACAAGCAGGUUUGGAUGUAGAGGAAUAGCAAAGUCACAGACCUUGAAGUGACAGACACCAUGGAGCUGAAGCAACUAUCAAACUCUAAAGGGUUUAGUUCCUGCACAUCUUGAUGAAAGGCUUAAGGCAAAAACAAACAAACAAACAAAAAACAAAACA
Neofelis nebulosa (Clouded leopard) is the source of this 638-nucleotide long non-coding RNA. RefSeq lists it as uncharacterized. The record is from RefSeq and is a predicted model, not a curated record. The transcript has 2 exons. Lineage: Eukaryota; Metazoa; Chordata; Mammalia; Carnivora; Felidae.